AGUGAACGCUGGCGGUAGGCCUAACGCAUGCAAGUCGAACGGCAGCACAGUAAGAGCUUGCUCUUACGGGUGGCGAGUGGCGGACGGGUGAGGAAUACAUCGGAAUCUACUUUUUUGUGGGGGAUAACGUAGGGAAACUUACGCUAAUACCGCAUACGACCUACGGGUGAAAGCAGGGGAUCUUCGGACCUUGCGCGAUUGAAUGAGCCGAUGUCGGAUUAGCUAGUUGGCGGGGUAAAGGCCCACCAAGGCGACGAUCCGUAGCUGGUCUGAGAGGAUGAUCAGCCACACUGGAACUGAGACACGGUCCAGACUCCUACGGGAGGCAGCAGUGGGGAAUAUUGGACAAUGGGCGCAAGCCUGAUCCAGCCAUACCGCGUGGGUGAAGAAGGCCUUCGGGUUGUAAAGCCCUUUUGUUGGGAAAGAAAAGCAGCAGGUUAAUACCCCGCUGUUCUGACGGUACCCAAAGAAUAAGCACCGGCUAACUUCGUG
RNAcentral lists this ribosomal RNA (492 nucleotides) under uncultured bacterium. Its description in RNAcentral is "partial 16S ribosomal RNA". It matches the Rfam family "Bacterial small subunit ribosomal RNA", at positions 29 to 507 of the family's 1533-position model. The record is from RNAcentral.